Molecule: ribosomal RNA, 1739 nt
Filed under: Shigella sonnei
Lineage: Bacteria; Pseudomonadati; Pseudomonadota; Gammaproteobacteria; Enterobacterales; Enterobacteriaceae
Description: partial 23S ribosomal RNA
Rfam family: Bacterial large subunit ribosomal RNA
Source: RNAcentral
CAUCCUCCAAGGCUAAAUACUCCUGACUGACCGAUAGUGAACCAGUACCGUGAGGGAAAGGCGAAAAGAACCCCGGCGAGGGGAGUGAAAAAGAACCUGAAACCGUGUACGUACAAGCAGUGGGAGCACGCUUAGGCGUGUGACUGCGUACCUUUUGUAUAAUGGGUCAGCGACUUAUAUUCUGUAGCAAGGUUAACCGAAUAGGGGAGCCGAAGGGAAACCGAGUCUUAACUGGGCGUUAAGUUGCAGGGUAUAGACCCGAAACCCGGUGAUCUAGCCAUGGGCAGGUUGAAGGUUGGGUAACACUAACUGGAGGACCGAACCGACUAAUGUUGAAAAAUUAGCGGAUGACUUGUGGCUGGGGGUGAAAGGCCAAUCAAACCGGGAGAUAGCUGGUUCUCCCCGAAAGCUAUUUAGGUAGCGCCUCGUGAAUUCAUCUCCGGGGGUAGAGCACUGUUUCGGCAAGGGGGUCAUCCCGACUUACCAACCCGAUGCAAACUGCGAAUACCGGAGAAUGUUAUCACGGGAGACACACGGCGGGUGCUAACGUCCGUCGUGAAGAGGGAAACAACCCAGACCGCCAGCUAAGGUCCCAAAGUCAUGGUUAAGUGGGAAACGAUGUGGGAAGGCCCAGACAGCCAGGAUGUUGGCUUAGAAGCAGCCAUCAUUUAAAGAAAGCGUAAUAGCUCACUGGUCGAGUCGGCCUGCGCGGAAGAUGUAACGGGGCUAAACCAUGCACCGAAGCUGCGGCAGCGAUGCUUAUGCGUUGUUGGGUAGGGGAGCGUUCUGUAAGCCUGCGAAGGUGUGCUGUGAGGCAUGCUGGAGGUAUCAGAAGUGCGAAUGCUGACAUAAGUAACGAUAAAGCGGGUGAAAAGCCCGCUCGCCGGAAGACCAAGGGUUCCUGUCCAACGUUAAUCGGGGCAGGGUGAGUCGACCCCUAAGGCGAGGCCGAAAGGCGUAGUCGAUGGGAAACAGGUUAAUAUUCCUGUACUUGGUGUUACUGCGAAGGGGGGACGGAGAAGGCUAUGUUGGCCGGGCGACGGUUGUCCCGGUUUAAGCGUGUAGGCUGGUUUUCCAGGCAAAUCCGGAAAAUCAAGGCUGAGGCGUGAUGACGAGGCACUACGGUGCUGAAGCAACAAAUGCCCUGCUUCCAGGAAAAGCCUCUAAGCAUCAGGUAACAUCAAAUCGUACCCCAAACCGACACAGGUGGUCAGGUAGAGAAUACCAAGGCGCUUGAGAGAACUCGGGUGAAGGAACUAGGCAAAAUGGUGCCGUAACUUCGGGAGAAGGCACGCUGAUAUGUAGGUGAAGUCCCUUGCGGAUGGAGCUGAAAUCAGUCGAAGAUACCAGCUGGCUGCAACUGUUUAUUAAAAACACAGCACUGUGCAAACACGAAAGUGGACGUAUACGGUGUGACGCCUGCCCGGUGCCGGAAGGUUAAUUGAUGGGGUCAGCGCAAGCGAAGCUCUUGAUCGAAGCCCCGGUAAACGGCGGCCGUAACUAUAACGGUCCUAAGGUAGCGAAAUUCCUUGUCGGGUAAGUUCCGACCUGCACGAAUGGCGUAAUGAUGGCCAGGCUGUCUCCACCCGAGACUCAGUGAAAUUGAACUCGCUGUGAAGAUGCAGUGUACCCGCGGCAAGACGGAAAGACCCCGUGAACCUUUACUAUAGCUUGACACUGAACAUUGAGCCUUGAUGUGUAGGAUAGGUGGGAGGCUUUGAAGUGUGGACGCCAGUCUG